CUAAGUCGCAAGACGAUGUAUAGGAGCUGACGCCUGCCCGGUGCUGGAAGGUUAAGGGGAUCUGUUAGAGCAAUCGAAGCAGUGAACUUAAGCCCCAGUAAACGGCGGCCGUAACUAUAACGGUCCUAAGGUAGCGAAAUUCCUUGUCGGGUAAGUUCCGACCCGCACGAAAGGCGUAACGAUUUGGGCACUGUCUCAACAACAGACUCGGUGAAAUUGUAAUUCCGGUGAAGAUGCCGGAUACCUGCGACAGGACGGAAAGACCCCAUGGAGCUUUACUGUAGCUUGACAUUGGGUCUUGGUACUACAUGUACAGGAUAGGUGGGAGGCUUUGAAACCAGGACGCCAGUUUUGGCGGAGCCAUCCUUGGGAUACCACCCUUGUAGUACUGGGACUCUAACCAUAGGCCAUGAAUCUGGUCUUGGGACACUGUCAGGUGGGCAGUUUGACUGGGGCGGUCGCCUCCCAAAAGGUAACGGAGGCGCUCAAAGGUUCUCUCAGUACGGUCGGAAAUCGUACGUAGAGUGUAAAGGCAAAAGAGAGCUUGAUUGCAAGACAUACAGGUCGAGCAAGGAUGAAAAUCGGACUUAGUGAUCCGGUGGUUCUGCGUGGAAGGGCCAUCGCUCAACGGAUAAAAGCUACCCUGGGGAUAACAGGCUUAUCUCCCCCAAGAGUCCACAUCGACGGGGAGGUUUGGCACCUCGAUGUCGGCUCAUCACAUCCUGGGGCUGUAGUAGGUCCCAAGGGUUGGGCUGUUCGCCCAUUAAAGUGGUACGCGAGCUGGGUUCAGAACGUCGUGAGACAGUUCGGUCCCUAUCCGUCGCAGGCGUAGGAAAUUUGAGAAGACCUGUCCUUAGUACGAGAGGACCGGGAUGGACG
This 879-nucleotide ribosomal RNA is filed under the name Clostridioides difficile. RNAcentral describes it as "partial 23S ribosomal RNA". It matches the Rfam family "Bacterial large subunit ribosomal RNA", at positions 1826 to 2703 of the family's 2925-position model. The record is from RNAcentral. Lineage: Bacteria; Bacillati; Bacillota; Clostridia; Peptostreptococcales; Peptostreptococcaceae.